Long non-coding RNA from Oreochromis aureus, 397 nucleotides. RefSeq lists it as uncharacterized. The transcript has 4 exons. NCBI's taxonomy places the organism in Eukaryota, Metazoa, Chordata, Actinopteri, Cichliformes, Cichlidae. The record is from RefSeq and is a predicted model, not a curated record.
UGGCUUGUCUCAGGAGUCUCUCAGUGACCUGAGCAGCAGCUACAGCUCUGCUGGCCUCUGUGUUCACCUGCAGGAGACGUGGAGACCCGCGCUCACCUUCUGCAGCACUUAGACACAGUUGCAGUGAGGGAAGGAGGUUUCCUCUGCUGGUCUCAGACAGCAGCAGAAACAUCAGCCUCCCUGUCAGUGGAGAUCAGUUCUUAUGUGCUGUUGGCCAAACUCAGCGCCUCCCCGACUGCUGAGGAUCUGGGAUAUGCCUCUGGUAUUAUCAGGUGGCUGACUGGGCAGCAGAACUAUGACGGAGGCUUCUCCUCCACUCAGAACAGCCUUCUGUGCACCAACUACACGUAACAGCCUGUAAAUAACAGCUCAGCUGCAGUCUGACACAGUGGAGGCU